ACUGGGCUGGGAUAGCUCCAAGAGACAAAGGAAAGGGCAUGGUGGCUGCUUCUGUCACCCUCACCUGACAUGCCUUCCCCUCUAGUGGCUUGCUGUAGGGCCAGAGAGUGUGAGUGCCCACUAGAACCUUCGGCUUCAUCUCUUGAUUGCUGAUGGGGGCAAGAACAACAGAAAGCAGCCUGCACUGAGCUUCGACUUGCAUUCUUCUGGAGCUCUUUGCUGCUGUCUUCCUGGAAUCUGCUUAUGUCUCACCUGGGGCAACAAUUCAGACCGGGCCAUCUGUGAAAAUUCAGGAGCUGAGCCAACUGGGGACUGAAAAAAUUCAGAGAGAGAGAACCAUGAAAGUCAAGGGCAUUGUAAGGAUGAAUUUAGAACCUCCAAUGACAGCAGGCCCUCAUUUGGAUGCUUGGAUUCUAAAAUGUUUGCUAAAAGUUGUCCCAGCACUAGAAGACAUUCUAAGCCCAAGCUUAUUCCAAGUCUUGCAAGGACAUUGAAGUUGAUGCAGCUUUCUGGCCCAGAUGGACCUGGGGAAGAACCAAGUAGGAUACUGAGUCUGUGUGGGGAUGCUGGCCAGGGUCCUGAGUCCAGAAGACUGUCCCGCUGGCUCAGAUUGGUGUGCCUCCCAGCAGAUCUUUAAGUAGGUGGAAUAGUUCACCAAAUUCAGUAAGAGAGACUGGAGUUUGAGACUGAGAUUCUCCCAGGAUCUUCUGUGGGAAGGAGGCUGAUGGGCUUAUCUUUUUGGCUAAGAUGGACGUGCAUCACCCAGCAGGUCUCUGCACCAGUGGUGUAAUUCCUCAACUUCAAAAGGAGGAGCAAAAUCUGAGACUAUACUCUCCCAGGAUCUACUGUGAAAUGGAGGCUGCUGUGCCUAUCACACUGGCUCAAGUGGGCAUGUGUCUCCCAGCAGGUCCUUGCACAAAUGGAAAGUUUUCCAACUGCAGCAGGAGAGGCUACAGAAUAGACUGGGCUCCCAUGGGAUCUACUGUGGGACAGAGGCUGAAGAAGCUGGUCUUGGCUCAGAGGAAUGUGUGUAACCCAACAAGUUUCUGCACAGGUAGGAUAGUUCCCUGGCUGAAAAAGAAGGGGCCAGCAGGUGGUAGAAAAAGAAUACAGCACAUCAUCAGGAAUUAGUUUAAACUGGGACGUGGAUGAAGCUGGAAACUAUCAUUUGCAGCAAAGUAUCACAAGAACAGAAAACCAAACACCACAUGUUCUCACUCAUAAGUGGGAGGUGAACAACGAGAACGCAUGGACACCGGGAGGAGAACAUCACACACUGGGGCCUGUCGGGGGAUGGGGGGACUAGGGGAGGGAUAGCAUUAGGAGAAAUACCUUAUGUAGGUGACGGAUUGAUGGGUGCAGCAAACCACCAUGGCACGUGUAUACCUAGGUAACAAAACUGCACAUUCUGCACUUGUGCCCCAGAACUUAAAAUGUAAUUUAAAAAAAGAGAGAGAGAGAAAAAAAGAACUGGCUGCACAUCAGAGAUAUUUAGGUUUGGAUUCUGGCUCUCAGAGGUCACUAUGGAUGUGAACGUAUUUAUACAUUUCUACUGUG
Pan troglodytes (chimpanzee) is the source of this 1557-nucleotide long non-coding RNA. RefSeq lists it as uncharacterized. Lineage: Eukaryota; Metazoa; Chordata; Mammalia; Primates; Hominidae. The transcript has 6 exons. The record is from RefSeq and is a predicted model, not a curated record.